Drosophila suzukii is the source of this 1842-nucleotide non-coding RNA. The record is from RefSeq and is a predicted model, not a curated record. NCBI's taxonomy places the organism in Eukaryota, Metazoa, Arthropoda, Insecta, Diptera, Drosophilidae.
AAUACAAUUUUAUGUAGUCGGGGGCUGGGGCUCUCGUCUGCCUUUGAGGUCCGUUCCAUCAGGAAUGUGGCUAUACCGUCGGAGUGGACGGAGUGGGAGGUGGAUGUGGUCGCAGCUGCUGCUGCUGAUGAUGAUGACGGUGGUGCACAGGAGCCAUAAAACGGAAUUAUACGCAUUCACACAACCGCAAAGCAGUUGAACAAACAAUGAUCCGAAUGUCUCUCGGAUCCCCGGAUAAUGUCUAAAUUUGGCCCGAACGGUGUUGGCCGUAAAAGCCAUUCGGCCCUUGGCUAAGUGCCUUCUCCAUUUCCAUUAUGACUUGAGUGUCAUACGUGAGUCAUCCGCCGCGGCGUUGAUAAUUGCCAAGACAGACUAAUGGCUUAGGGAUUGGGCAUUGGGUUUUGUCGUCGGGCGGUAAGGUGCUGCAUAAAUCCACUUUGAUGACGUCUUAUGCGGGUGGCCGUGACGAAGGCGAUAACCGAUGGCGAAUGGUGCACUUCCUACUCACCUCUGAUUGGAUUAGGUUCGAGGAGAUUAUCAGAAACUAUAUUCGAAGUUUCUGAAGAACAACGAGGCGGGUGUACACUAAAACUUUAAGGAAUGAUCAUGCGAUUGUAUCGGAACAGAGAUAACCUUCAAUGACUGGACUAUUAAAAAUAUACAAUUUUUGUUGUAGAUAUUUUACAGCUUAAAGCGAAUCCCAGUCUUCCAGCUUUUUAAUCGUGCAAAACAGUACAGUUUACAAAUAUGGUUCCUUUCAACGUAGGCUUAAAAAUGCCUUCCCCAAGCACUAGCAUCUUCGUAUGUCAAGAAACGACAUUAAACAAUGUGUAUGGGAAAGCUGUAGGGGAAUAUAUUACCCGUACAGCGAGUUUUAGUGACCAUAUUUCGGUUAUUUUGAGCUAAAUCCGGCCAUGAUUUGCCCUGUAGCUUUUUAAGCUUAACUUAGAAAGCAAAUUUUGAAUCUGAAAGAAAAUGUGUAUUGGUUUAGAAGAAGUCAACCUCAGCACUAGUGCAAAAAGAUGUUUUCUCCCUCAUGAUCCGAUUCCAACGAAAGCGAAACCGACAUCUCCAAAUGCCCGAAAAGAAGUUGAGAAACUUAACGUCUUCCCUGAACGAUAUGUCAGCCCGAUCGCAUCAAGCCAACCAGGCAUGGCCAUGGCCAAAGUGAUCCUGUAAAAUGUAAAACGAAAUUCCCCUAAGCCGCUCAAGAGUCUCCCCGCGAUGGCAUCGUAAAGUGGCCGGUCUCGGCCCGAAUUGAACCGUAGCCAAAGUUCAUGUAACGUCAACGACUCAAUACGGAGCUACUGAUUUACACACAUACAUAUGUAUGCACGCUGGAUUCGGAUCGGGGUAUGGGGAUCGGAGCUAACCCAGGAGCCAGGUCCAGAAGCCAGGUCCAGGUCCAGAGUCACAGAGUCACAGAGCCGCGGAGUCGGACUCUGGCAACAUGAUUGCACGUAUAGUGGAACAAAUUCAUGGCAUACGCGGCAAUCGCAGGCAGCACCUUGGCAAUCAGCAACGCAAACAUCAAGGUUGAAGGACUUCGGCCAGGAAGACUAGACCAAUGAUCUGCUUUUAGAAUACAAAUCUCUUAUUUGAAAAUGAUGAUUUCUAAAAAUUCAAAACCAAGUUUUGAUUUUUUUAUCAUGAUUUUCAUAAAAGUGAUAACAUAUUUCUAAUAUCAUAAGAGGUCUUUCGGUGAUGCCAGGAUCAAUAAAAAUGUUAACCAACUUCACCGAUUUCCGUUGCAAGCCGGCACAUCUCAAGUUUUAUGCUGCUGAAGUUUCUCUUUUUUGGAAGGAAAGGACAUAACAAUAUGCUACCGUCAAUGUCUUUAAA